UGGGGAAUCUUGCACAAUGGGGGAAACCCUGAUGCAGCGACGCCGCGUGAGCGAUGAAGGUUUUCGAAUCGUAAAGCUCUGUCCUAUGGGAAGAUAAUGACGGUACCAUGGGAGGAAGCCCCGGCUAACUACGUGCCAGCAGCCGCGGUAAUACGUAGGGGGCGAGCGUUGUCCGGAAUUACUGGGCGUAAAGGGUUCGCAGGCGGCAUGGCAAGUCCGAUGUAAAAGGCUAAGGCUCAACCUUCGUAAGCAUCGGAAACUGUCAAGCUUGAGUGAAGGAGAGGCAAGUGGAAUUCCUAGUGUAGCGGUGGAAUGCGUAGAUAUUAGGAGGAAUACCGGUGGCGAAGGCGACUUGCUGGACUUCAACUGACGCUGAGGAACGAAAGCGUGGGUAGCAAACAGG
Molecule: ribosomal RNA, 403 nt
Filed under: Fusobacteriota bacterium
Lineage: Bacteria; Fusobacteriati; Fusobacteriota
Description: Fusobacteria bacterium partial 16S ribosomal RNA
Rfam family: Bacterial small subunit ribosomal RNA
Source: RNAcentral